This 465-nucleotide ribosomal RNA is filed under the name uncultured Klebsiella sp. RNAcentral describes it as "bacterial SSU rRNA". It matches the Rfam family "Bacterial small subunit ribosomal RNA", at positions 338 to 795 of the family's 1533-position model. Lineage: Bacteria; Pseudomonadati; Pseudomonadota; Gammaproteobacteria; Enterobacterales; Enterobacteriaceae. The record is from RNAcentral.
CCUACGGGGGGCAGCAGUGGGGAAUAUUGCACAAUGGGCGCAAGCCUGAUGCAGCCAUGUCGCGUGUGUGAAGAAGGCCUUCGGGUUGUAAAGCACUUUCAGCGGGGAGGAAGGCGUUAAGGUUAAUAACCUUGUCGAUUGACGUUACCCGCAGAAGAAGCACCGGCUAACUCCGUGCCAGCAGCCGCGGUAAUACGGAGGGUGCAAGCGUUAAUCGGAAUUACUGGGCGUAAAGCGCACGCAGGCGGCCUGUCAAGUCGGAUGUGAAAUCCCCGGGCUCAACCUGGGAACUGCAUUCGAAACUGGCAGGCUAGAGUCUUGUAGAGGGGGGUAGAAUUCCAGGUGUAGCGGUGAAAUGCGUAGAGAUCUUGAGGAAUACCGGUGGCGAAGGCGGCCCCCUGGACAAAGACUGACGCUCAGGUGCGAAAGCGUGGGGAGCAAACAGGAUUAGAUACCCUUGUAGUC